UACAGAGGGGGCCAGCGUUAUUCGGAAUUAUUGGGCGUAAAGGGCGCGUAGGCGGCCUGCUAAGUCGAACGUGAAAUCCCUGGGCUCAACCCAGGAACUGCGUCCGAUACUGGUUGGCUUGAAUCCGGGAGAGGGAUGUGGAAUUCCAGGUGUAGCGGUGAAAUGCGUAGAUAUCUGGAGGAACACCGGUGGCGAAGGCGACAUCCUGGACCGGUAUUGACGCUGAGGCGCGAAAGCCAGGGGAGCAAACGGG
This 253-nucleotide ribosomal RNA is filed under the name uncultured bacterium. RNAcentral describes it as "partial 16S ribosomal RNA". It matches the Rfam family "Bacterial small subunit ribosomal RNA", at positions 524 to 776 of the family's 1533-position model. The record is from RNAcentral.